ACUCCUACGGGUGGCAGCAGUGGGGAAUUUUGGACAAUGGGGGCAACCCUGAUCCAGCCAUGCCGCGUGAGUGAAGAAGGCCUUCGGGUUGUAAAGCUCUUUCGGCCGGGAAGAAAUCGCAUAGGUUAAUACCCUGUGUGGAUGACGGUACCGGAAUAAGAAGCACCGGCUAACUACGUGCCAGCAGCCGCGGUAAUACGUAGGGUGCGAGCGUUAAUCGGAAUUACUGGGCGUAAAGCGUGCGCAGGCGGUUUCGUAAGACAGAGGUGAAAUCCCCGGGCUCAACCUGGGAACUGCCUUUGUGACUGCGAGGCUAGAGUACGGCAGAGGGGGGUGGAAUUCCACGUGUAGCAGUGAAAUGCGUAGAGAUGUGGAGGAACACCGAUGGCGAAGGCAGCCCCCUGGGCCGAUACUGACGCUCAUGCACGAAAGCGUGGGUAGCAAACAGGAUUAGAUACCCUGGUAGUCCG
This 470-nucleotide ribosomal RNA is filed under the name uncultured Dechloromonas sp. Its description in RNAcentral is "bacterial SSU rRNA". It matches the Rfam family "Bacterial small subunit ribosomal RNA", at positions 335 to 797 of the family's 1533-position model. Lineage: Bacteria; Pseudomonadati; Pseudomonadota; Betaproteobacteria; Rhodocyclales; Azonexaceae. The record is from RNAcentral.